AGGUUUUGCUGGUGUUGGAAUCCCAGCAAUUCCACCUUACUCAAUUUGCUGAACUUCUCUGAGCCCCCACUGCCUCGUGGGAACAAAAGUAGCUGCCUCAAGAGCUGCCACGUGGAUGAAUGAGGAUGAAGUGCAUUAGUUAGGAAGGGCUGGGUUAUGCUUAGUAACAAGCACUCCCAAAGACUUCACGGCCCCAACAGCUAAGGUUUGGUUCCCAUGAUGGUUGUUUUGUGAAGUGAAAAUGCAGCAAAUUAUGUACUGUUUUGUAAUACUUCUCCUUGGAAGGGACACAUGCCACCUCUGCUCACAUUUCAUUGGCCAAAGCAAGUCACAUGGCCACCCCCAAUGUCAGUAGGGUGGGAAAUAUGAUUGUCCUCUAGGAUCAGAACCAUCUGGGCCUGGUGGCUGGCGCCCGUAGUCCGAGCUACUUUGGAGGCU
Molecule: long non-coding RNA, 438 nt
Filed under: Homo sapiens (human)
Lineage: Eukaryota; Metazoa; Chordata; Mammalia; Primates; Hominidae
Description: non-protein coding lnc-CCDC159-3:1
Source: RNAcentral